RNAcentral lists this ribosomal RNA (792 nucleotides) under Pediococcus sp. RNAcentral's name for it is "bacterial SSU rRNA". It matches the Rfam family "Bacterial small subunit ribosomal RNA", at positions 50 to 802 of the family's 1533-position model. Lineage: Bacteria; Bacillati; Bacillota; Bacilli; Lactobacillales; Lactobacillaceae. The record is from RNAcentral.
AUUACAUAUUACCGAACUUCCGUUAAUUGAUUAUGACGUGCUUGCACUGAAUGAGAUUUUAACACGAAGUGAGUGGCGGACGGGUGAGUAACACGUGCCUAACCUGCCCAGAAGCAGGGGAUAACACCUGGAAACAGAUGCUAAUACCGUAUAACAGAGAAAACCGCCUGGUUUUCUUUUAAAAGAUGGCUCUGCUAUCACUUCUGGAUGGACCCGCGGCGCAUUAGCUAGUUGGUGAGGUAACGGCUCACCAACGCGAUGAUGCGUAGCCGACCUGAGAGGGUAAUCGGCCACAUUGGGACUGAGACACGGCCCAGAGUCCUACGGGAGGCAGCAGUAGGGAAUCUUCCACAAUGGACGCAAGUCUGAUGGAGCAACGCCGCGUGAGUGAAGAAGGGUUUCGGCUCGUAAAGCUCUGUUGUUAAAGAAGAACGUGGGUGAGAGUAACUGUUCACCCAGUGACGGUAUUUAACCAGAAAGCCACGGCUAACUACGUGCCAGCAGCCGCGGUAAUACGUAGGUGGCAAGCGUUAUCCGGAUUUAUUGGGCGUAAAGCGAGCGCAGGCGGUCUUUUAAGUCUAAUGUGAAAGCCUUCGGCUCAACCGAAGAAGUGCAUUGGAAACUGGGAGACUUGAGUGCAGAAGAGGACAGUGGAACUCCAUGUGUAGCGGUGAAAUGCGUAGAUAUAUGGAAGAACACCAGUGGCGAAGCCGGCUGUCUGGUCUGUAACUGACGCUGAGGCUCGAAAGCAUGGCUAGCGAACAGGAUUAGAUACCCUGGUUUACCAUAGGA